RNAcentral lists this transfer RNA (66 nucleotides) under Ranacephala hogei (Hoge's toadhead turtle). RNAcentral describes it as "Mesoclemmys hogei (Hoge's toadhead turtle) tRNA-Cys". Lineage: Eukaryota; Metazoa; Chordata; Testudines; Chelidae. The record is from RNAcentral.
AGCUCUGUGGUGAAGUUCAUAUUAGAUUGCAAAUCUGAAGAUAUACUUUAAUAGGUAUCAGUGCUU